GCGGAGGAAAAGAAACUAACAAGGAUUCCCCUAGUAACGGCGAGUGAAGAGGGAAGAGCUCAAAUUUUAAAUCUGCCUUGUUCCAAGGUCGAGUUGUAAUUUGAAGAAGCGUUUUCUUGGGCUCGCGGCCGGUAGAAGUUCUUUGGAACAGGACAUCAUAGAGGGUGACAAUCCCGUCCGUGACCGGUCGUGCGUUCAUCUACGAUACGCUUUCAAAGAGUCGAGUUGUUUGGGAUUGCAGCUCCAAACGGGUGGUAAACAUCACCUAAGGCUAAAUAUUGGCGAGAGACCGAUAGCGAACAAGUACCGUGAGGGAAAGAUGAAAAGAACUUUGAAAAGAGAGUUAAACAGUACGUGAAAUUGUUGAAAGGGAAACGAUUGAAGUCAGUCGUGCUGGCGCGAAAUCAACCCUCUCGUCUUGAGAUCACAUGGCGCGACGAGCCUCAAAACCGUCACGAAGCGUGAACUCUUGACGAAAAGGUGCACUUUCGUGUCCGCUGGUUAACAUCAAUUUCGAACGUCAUAAAAAGGCUGGAGGGAUGUGGCUCCUUCGGGAGUGUUAUAACCUUUAGCGGAAUGUGGCGUUCGGGAUUGAGGAUUGCAACGAAUACCUUCAGGGCUGUUCCACCUGGCUUCUCAUUGGUAUCCUGGUGACGACAGCUUGCUGACGUCGUUAGGAUCAGCUUCUGAACAGGCUAGAGUGUGAGCAAAUUCGUUAAGGAUGUUAACGUAAUGGCUUUAAACGACCCGUCUUG
RNAcentral lists this ribosomal RNA (755 nucleotides) under Glomeromycotina sp. OTU31 DJMC-2012. RNAcentral's name for it is "eukaryotic LSU rRNA". It matches the Rfam family "Eukaryotic large subunit ribosomal RNA", at positions 50 to 656 of the family's 3401-position model. The record is from RNAcentral. Lineage: Eukaryota; Fungi; Glomeromycota.